GGGUAAUAGUUAAUUAUAACAUUUGAUUUGCAUUCAAAAAGUGUUGACUCAUCAACUUACCUU
RNAcentral lists this transfer RNA (63 nucleotides) under Orthetrum melania. RNAcentral describes it as "tRNA-Ala". It matches the Rfam family "tRNA". From Rfam's summary of the family: Transfer RNA (tRNA) molecules are approximately 80 nucleotides in length. Their secondary structure includes four short double-helical elements and three loops (D, anti-codon, and T loops). Lineage: Eukaryota; Metazoa; Arthropoda; Insecta; Odonata; Libellulidae. The record is from RNAcentral.